RNAcentral lists this ribosomal RNA (253 nucleotides) under uncultured prokaryote. Its description in RNAcentral is "partial 16S ribosomal RNA". It matches the Rfam family "Bacterial small subunit ribosomal RNA", at positions 525 to 777 of the family's 1533-position model. The record is from RNAcentral.
ACGUAGGGGGCAAGCGUUGUCCGGAAUCAUUGGGCGUAAAGCGCGUGUAGGCGGCUGCAUAAGUCUGUUGUGAAAGUCGGAGGCUCAACCUUCGAAAGCCGAUGGAUACUGUGCAGCUUGAGUACGGAAGAGGAGAGUGGAAUUCCUGGUGUAGCGGUGAAAUGCGCAGAUAUCAGGAGGAACACCAACGGCGAAGGCAGCUCUCUGGGACGUAACUGACGCUGAGACGCGAAAGCGUGGGGAGCAAACAGGA